GAUUUUGUUUUUGUUCCUCAGAAGAUUUCAAAAAUGGAAACAAAACCGAAAAAAGCUUCAAAGAGUUGAGCGGGGUCUUUUUUUUUUUCUUUCUUUUUUUUUCAUUUACACAGUGGAGGAGAGAGACAAACUCGAGAUGGAUACAGUUGAACACACUGCCUCUACAAUCCUGGUCGUACAAAUGGUGACUAAAGAAAGGACUCUUUCUAUUCCAUACUGGAGCUUUGGUUGUUUACAAGCCACAUGGAUAUCUGUGGGUGCAGUUUUAUUCUUUUGUUUUAUCUUUUUUUUGUUCCCACAUGAGACGGGUGGGGUUUGCAAGUGCGCUUCUGCCAUAAGGACAUUGAGUGGUGUGGUGGCGUUUUUGUUUAUUUUGGUUCGUUGUUUUUGAGGAAGAGUGGCAGGCAUCACAACAACAUGGACAGGAUCCUCUAACUAGAUCUGUGUCGUGGGUCCUGAGACUUGAUCAGCCGCGGAGCGGAGGUAGAAAAAUCAAGGAUGGGGCUGUGUUUUGUGGAGAACCGAGUGCAGGGCUGCAAACCCUGGAGGGGGAACUUGAGAGGACGGUAUGAGCGCAUCCGCUCGGUGCUCUCGUCUUCACCUCGGCCCUCGAAAGCACUCGCACCCUGCCCUCACCGACUCACCUAUGCACUUUUGUUCAUUCAAGCUGUGAGGUACAAUUUUGGGGAUGGGAGCACAAUUACAACAGGAGGAUUGCUACGACUUUGACAAAGUCACUGAAAAAGAAAUUCCCAAACUGAAAUAAGAGACUCGAGAAGCUCGUCUUCUCCCACCUCCUGUACAUAACCAUAUUUUUGUAUUACCUUUCAGAGUAGAAAGAAAAAAAAUGCAAAAUGGAUGAAGGAAAAUUCAUUGACUAUAUGGAGUGAAUGUUCUUCAAGAAAACCAAUCUUUUUUUGUUUUUUAAAUCUAGUUUGAGAUGGGACUCGCUGAGAGUUUAGUUUGCCAGUAGCCCUGAAGUAAUCGGGGAAGGAACGUAAAACCACAUGGACUGAGGUGGUGGCCAUGCUGCAGUGGCUCCAAGACUGACUGAUAGCUACUUAUCAAAAUGGAUGUUGCAGUGGCUACAAAGAGCCCACCAAGAGUGUUUGAUCAACACGCACAGUAAAGAGAUGGACACUGAUGACAGCCUCAAGAGCUGCAGAGUGACUACCGGAGGACAAGUGCUUGGCAUUGGAGUCUGGCUGUGCUUUAUUUGCUGCCCUCUGCAAGGAGGAUCUUAUCUACAGCCAACCCAUGAACCAGUGAACCCUAAACCUGUCCUUUUGAACUUAGACCCUAAGAAACUUUUUUUGACCUCAGUGUGGGCAGGCCAAUGGCAUUAUACGUUGGACAGAUGAAGUUGCAGGUUUAUCAACUCUUCAUCCCCUUUUUGCUGGAAGUGUUCGGUUAAGGAUUUAAUCCCACACUCCAUCUAAGAAGAGGAUACAAAGGCCUGCGUUGCCCAGAAGUUCAUAAUCCACCUCAGCCGGAAAACUCUCGGAUGGUGGUCUUAAAGGUCUUCUAGCCAUUGGGACCGACAAGCCGCUCUCCUGCCCAGAUGUCAGAGACAGUGUGCUGGGAUGAGUUUUGGUGGACGUGGCCGGAUUACAUCUCAGCCAUCGCAAAAGGCUGCUGCUGUGGAACUGGAUGAACUGAAAGAAUUGUACAAGGAAAAAAAGGACUUUUGAAAACAAAACACAAAACUAUCAUUUGUCACAUAAAUUCUCAAGUCCAAAGGAGCAGGCAGACACACUACAUGCACACACUCAGCUAAAGUUACAUUGGCUCUCCUCUGGAACAAUGUCUACACACACAUGCACACACACACACACACACACCAGAGAUACACAAUAUCAAACGACACAAAGACACACAAGCAUCAACGCCCAGCAGCAUAAACGCUGAGCUUUGUAAAUAAUGUAAAAGUUAGUGUUUUUGAGUUUUCUCCAUAAUGGCUUUUGCUUUAUUUCUUUGUUCAACAUGCCUUAAAUUGUAUAGUUCAGUCUGAAAUGGCUUAAUGAAAACGUUCUCAGUUUAAGUUGGAAACCACCUCGUUAACUGUACUCUAAAGAGCGUUUUAACAAGACGUCUGUUCGCUGACAGACUUGUCCUGUAUAAAAGUGUAAAUGUGAUCUACUUUAAAGAUACUAGUUAACUAAAGAAUAGAGCAAUGAGGGCUUUUUGGUUGAUCUAAUUUUACUGGUGGUUGGAUUUUUGUUGCCCUUUUUUUUUCUUCGUUUUGAUCCAAAUAAAGUGUGGAUUCGUUGAGAUUUCCUAUUUAGAUUACUGCUGAAGGUGCAGGCUUGACAAAGGGCUGAAGUCUGUGCUGCCUGGAGCUGGGCUUACUGGGUGAUAUGCAGAGGUUCAUCUCAGAGCACGUGCUUGUUGCUGUGUCGUAUCUGUUGUUGGAUACAGUCCUGGGCAAAACUGAACCAGAAUGGCAGGUCGUCCUCAAAUUGAUUUGUUUUCUUUACACUCCAGGGGAAUAAAAUGUUUUAGGAGUUGGAUCUUUUUACAGUUUUGACAUAGUGAUUCACACUUGUCUUAUAGGAGUGCUUGUAAGAACAGGCAUGCAUGAUGGUUUGUAGUAUUUGUGGGGUUUGACACUAAAAUCUGUGUAUGUAAUAGUGCUGCUGACCAUCAGUGAUGGCACUGAAUCGAUACGGAAGCGACCAGGCUGUGGUGUGUCUGAAAUCUGAAAGGUCUUCUCGGACCACGUCUUUACUCUGUAUGUCUCAUUAAAUUUAAGAGAUUCGUGUUUUUAGUCAUUCUAUAGUUUGUUUGUUUUUUCCUUCUUUAUAACCAAACAUAUGCAGUUUUUUAUCCAAAUGGAAACUGAUGUUUAUUGAAUACCGUCAGUUUAGACUUGUUAAAAGUUUCUGGUCAACUGUGGGUGUGGUGUGCAGUUUUCUUCUAUAGGUAAGUGAAAUAGCCACAGUUGGCAUUGGUAUGUCAUAACUGUUGAAUUGAUAUUGAAUUAUUACUUUAAAUGUUAUCACAUUUUUUUAAAAAGCUUAUACUGUGAUGGAUGAAUCAUCAGUCUAUUUUACUGCACUACAAAAGCUUUUAUGAUCAGAGAAACCACAGUAUUGUGUCUAAAGACCCUGGUUGAUGAGCAGCUUGACCCGCCUGCUUCAGGAUAGAAGCUAUAGAUGGAAGGAUUACCUGGUUCAGUUUUGCUGGUUACUGUAACACCGACUGUAAUGAUGGACUCAUGGUUAUACCCCAGUCAGCCCAGCUCCUUCACUUAAUACGUCGUUGAAUGUUGUUAAAAUAACAGCAUACAUGUAAUGAAAAUGUUUUGGAAAAGAACAACUGAAAAGAAGUGUAAAUAGUUUGGCUUUUGUUUGAAGAACAAAAUAAAUACUAAAUAAAUAGCAUUUAGCUGUGA
Molecule: long non-coding RNA, 3394 nt
Organism: Pundamilia nyererei
Lineage: Eukaryota; Metazoa; Chordata; Actinopteri; Cichliformes; Cichlidae
Exons: 2
Source: RefSeq, a predicted model, not a curated record